This 301-nucleotide ribosomal RNA is filed under the name uncultured bacterium. Its description in RNAcentral is "partial 16S ribosomal RNA". It matches the Rfam family "Bacterial small subunit ribosomal RNA", at positions 509 to 807 of the family's 1533-position model. The record is from RNAcentral.
CAGUAGCCACGGUAAUACGUAGGUCCCGAGCGUUGUCCGGAUUGAUUGGGUGUAAAGGGUGUGCAGACGGCUUAUUAAGUCACUUGUUAAAUUCUUCGGCCUAACUGAAGGUCUGCAAGUGAUACUGAUGAGCUAGAGGGUGGAAGAGAGAAGUGGAAUUCUCGGAGUAGCGGUAAAAUGCGUAGAUCUCGAGAGGAACACCAAUGGCGAAGGCAGCUUCUUGGUCCAUUCCUGACGUUCAUACACGAAAGCGUGGGGAGCAAACAGGAUUAGAUACCCCCGUAGUCCCUGUCUCUUAUAC